Molecule: ribosomal RNA, 1379 nt
Filed under: Bankia setacea
Lineage: Eukaryota; Metazoa; Mollusca; Bivalvia; Myida; Teredinidae
Description: 16S ribosomal RNA
Rfam family: Bacterial large subunit ribosomal RNA
Source: RNAcentral
AUGAAAUCUUUCUUUGGUGAGUACCGUGAGGGAAACAUAGUUGGGAGAGUGGUUAUUGGGUUUAUCUCAAAGUUGCAUAAAUAGAUUAGAAAUAAGUGGGUUGUGAAAAAUAAAGAAUAAAUGUUAAUUAGUACUUUUUGUAUCAUGGGACAUAGAGGGUUUGCUUAGUUUAGUAGUCCUGAAAGGCCUCGAGCUAUCUUCUUUUUCCUAGGGUUAAUGAAUUUUGGGAGGUUUUGUGAUGUUGCAAUAUCAUGAUAAAGGGGAAGGUAGUGGCGACAUGUCUGUCGAGAGGCCUGAUAGCUGGUUCGUUGGGAAAUGUGCAUGAGCAUAGUGAGGCUAGUAGCAGUUAACGAGGAAAGGAAGUUUUCUGUUUGGCUUUAGUGAGGCUAAGGGGGUUAAGCUCCUUAGCGUUUUUGAGAGUUAUUUUUAUCAUUAAGUAGGGUUAAUAGUGCCUUUCUUAUUUUGAAAUUUUGUUCAAAGCAGUUUAUAAAGGGCAGUUGAUUUUUACUGGCGGUUGGCUUCGAGCUAAGAAGUUUAACAUUAGUAUGUCAUGCGUAAGUGAAAAAAUAAUUAAAAAUUGGUUUCUUUAUAUCUUGAUGAGGGAUAGGGUUAGUGGAAAAAGAAAGUUUAUUAUCAGUUUUGGUUAAUUAGGGGUUCAAUUUUGUUGGGCUCUGAGUUGGCAGCGGGCUUCGGUUCGUGGGGUUACUAAUUUUAGUGACCUGAGUUUGAAAUUAAGAAAAGUAAGUCUAAGGAACUCGGCAAAUAUCCUCUUCGCCUGUUUAUUAAAAACAUCGCUCUUAGGUUAUAUUAUUAUUAAGAGUCGUGCCUGCCCGGUGAAGAAAUAUCUUUAAACGGUUGCUGUUGAUAGCAGUACGAAGGUAGCACAGUAAAUAGUCCUUUAAUUGGGGAACAGUAUGAAUGGUGUGACGUGAGAGGGUCUGUCUCAGGCUUAAAUACUGAAAUUUAUUUCUAUGUGAAAAGGCAUAGAUGAAUACAUUAGACGAGAAGACCCCGUUGAGCUUGAUGAGGGUUGUUCUUUUUGAAUUGACUUAAAGUUUGGUUGGGGUGACUGGAUGCAAAAUUAACGUAUCUGAAUUUGUAGAAGAUGAAGAUCCCUUAUUAAGGAUAUGGAGAAAAAGCUACCACGGGGAUAACAGCGUAAUGUCUUUGGAGAGAUCAUAUUGAAGAAGAAUGUUGCGACCUCGAUGUUGAAUUAGGGUGUUAUCCUGGCGCAGCAGUUAGGAUUGUGGGACUGUUCGUCCUUUAAAACUCUACAUGAUUUGAGUUUAGACCGGCGUGAGCUAGGUCGGAUUCUAUCUUUGUUUUAAACCUCUUUUGUACGAAAGGAUCGGGAGGUUGGCUUAAUUAAGUUUAAUAUA